Long non-coding RNA from Leopardus geoffroyi (Geoffroy's cat), 290 nucleotides. RefSeq lists it as uncharacterized. The transcript is spliced from 5 exons. The record is from RefSeq and is a predicted model, not a curated record. NCBI's taxonomy places the organism in Eukaryota, Metazoa, Chordata, Mammalia, Carnivora, Felidae.
CAAAUUAUAACACAGAGGGUAUGUUACUUCCCAACAUUCACACAAUGAAUCCUUAUUUGAAGAAUCCAGAAUACUUUGAAAUGUGAAUAAACAAAGGAGAGAUUGGUCUUUUUGAAGGAAGCACACUUUGCUUCAAGUAAUGCAAGAGUGGAUAUGAAUGGCUGGCUAGAUGCAAAGGAGAAGAUUGUGGAUUGGAAGAAGUAUAUCAGAGGAAGGCAUAUGAUCCACAUUUCAGUAUAGACCCAACAGAUGAAAAUAUUCAAAUCUAUAAAAAAUGCUCAUCUAAAGUA